This 301-nucleotide ribosomal RNA is filed under the name uncultured bacterium. RNAcentral describes it as "partial 16S ribosomal RNA". It matches the Rfam family "Bacterial small subunit ribosomal RNA", at positions 509 to 807 of the family's 1533-position model. The record is from RNAcentral.
CAGUCGCCGCGGGAAAACGGAGGGAGCUAGCGUUGUUCGGAAUUACUGGGCGUAAAGCGCACGUAGGCGGUUAUUCAAGUCAGAGGUGAAAGCCCGGGGCUCAACCCCGGAACUGCCUUUGAAACUAGAUGACUGGAAUCUUGGAGAGGUCAGUGGAAUUCCGAGUGUAGAGGUGAAAUUCGUAGAUGUUCGGAAGAACACCAGUGGCGAAGGCGACUGACUGGACAAGUAUUGACGCCGAGGAGCGAAAGCGUGGGGAGCGAACAGGAUUAGAUACCCCCGUAGUCCCUGUCUCUUAUAC